Molecule: long non-coding RNA, 246 nt
Filed under: Daucus carota (carrot)
Lineage: Eukaryota; Viridiplantae; Streptophyta; Magnoliopsida; Apiales; Apiaceae
Description: long non-coding RNA (DCAR_LNC007202)
Source: RNAcentral
AUAGCCAUUAAUGGCUUCAAAUAAACUAUUGUAAUCAAGUCAUUCCUUUUCUCCUAUGUAUCAUGCCAAUGUAUUAAAUUUUUUAUAUCAAAUUUUAAUAUAUAUUGAGUAAAAUAUGUGACGUCAACUUCCAUUAGAUUAUAUUUAUAAAUGUAUUUUAUAUUAGAAUUAUUAUAAUAUGAUUUAAAUAUGGCUUACUAAUUUUAAAAUAUAUUAGAUAAAAAUAAUUUUGUGACGGUGCGAUUU